AUUGAACGCUGGCGGCAGGCCUAACACAUGCAAGUCGAGCGGAUGAAGGGAGCUUGCUCCUGGAUUCAGCGGCGGACGGGUGAGUAAUGCCUAGGAAUCUGCCUGGUAGUGGGGGAUAACGUCCGGAAACGGGCGCUAAUACCGCAUACGUCCUGAGGGAGAAAGUGGGGGAUCUUCGGACCUCACGCUAUCAGAUGAGCCUAGGUCGGAUUAGCUAGUUGGUGGGGUAAAGGCCUACCAAGGCGACGAUCCGUAACUGGUCUGAGAGGAUGAUCAGUCACACUGGAACUGAGACACGGUCCAGACUCCUACGGGAGGCAGCAGUGGGGAAUAUUGGACAAUGGGCGAAAGCCUGAUCCAGCCAUGCCGCGUGUGUGAAGAAGGUCUUCGGAUUGUAAAGCACUUUAAGUUGGGAGGAAGGGAAGUAAGUUAAUACCUUGCUGUUUUGACGUUACCAACAGAAAAAGCACCGGCUAACUUCGUG
This 484-nucleotide ribosomal RNA is filed under the name uncultured bacterium. RNAcentral's name for it is "partial 16S ribosomal RNA". It matches the Rfam family "Bacterial small subunit ribosomal RNA", at positions 30 to 507 of the family's 1533-position model. The record is from RNAcentral.